CCUACGGGUGGCAGCAGUGAGGAAUAUUGGUCAAUGGGCGCGAGCCUGAACCAGCCAAGUCGCGUGAGGGAAGACGGCCCUACGGGUUGUAAACCUCUUUUGCCGGGGAGCAACGGGCGCCACGUGUGGCGCCACUGAGAGUACCCGGAGAAAAAGCAUCGGCAAACUCCGUGCCAGCAGCCGCGGUAGUAGGGAGGAGGCGAGCGUUAUCCGGAUUUAUUGGGGUUAAAGGGUGCGUAGGCGGAGCGUUAAGGCAGUGGUAAAAUUGAGGGGCUCAACCCCUUCCCGCCAUUGAAACUGGCGCUCUUGAGUGGAAGAGAAGUAUGCGGAAUGCGUGGUGUAGCGGUGAAAUGCAUAGAUAUCACGCAGAACCCCGAUGGCGAAGGCAGCAUGCCGGCUUCCGACUGACGCUGAAGCACGAAAGCGUGGGGAUCGAACAGGAUUAGAUACCCUAGUAGUC
RNAcentral lists this ribosomal RNA (460 nucleotides) under uncultured bacterium. Its description in RNAcentral is "partial 16S ribosomal RNA". It matches the Rfam family "Bacterial small subunit ribosomal RNA", at positions 338 to 795 of the family's 1533-position model. The record is from RNAcentral.